CUGAGGGAUAGCCUUUCGAAAGAAAGAUUAGUACCUGAUAGUAUGGUGAGAUUGCAUGAUAGCACCAUUAAAGAUUUAUUGGUAAACGAUGGGGAUGCGUUCCAUUAGGUAGUAGGCGGGGUAACGGCCCACCUAGCCGACGAUGGAUAGGGGUUCUGAGAGGAAGGUCCCCCACAUUGGAACUGAGACACGGUCCAAACUCCUACGGGAGGCAGCAGUGAGGAAUAUUGGUCAAUGGGCGAGAGCCUGAACCAGCCAAGUAGCGUGAAGGAUGAAGGUCCUACGGAUUGUAAACUUCUUUUAUACGGGAAUAAAGUAUCCUACGUGUAGGAUUUUGUAUGUACCGUAUGAAUAAGCAUCGGCUAACUCCGUGCCAGCAGCCGCGGUAAUACGGAGGAUGCGAGCGUUAUCCGGAUUUAUUGGGUUUAAAGGGAGCGCAGACGGGAGAUUAAGUCAGUUGUGAAAGUUUGCGGCUCA
This 477-nucleotide ribosomal RNA is filed under the name uncultured bacterium. RNAcentral's name for it is "bacterial SSU rRNA". It matches the Rfam family "Bacterial small subunit ribosomal RNA", at positions 136 to 611 of the family's 1533-position model. The record is from RNAcentral.